GCAGGAGACGCUGUUACUGUUGGUUUUAUUCAUUGAUUUUUUAAGUUAUAACAGCUAGUACUAAUGGCAGCAAGAGCUCCUUCAGCAGCUCUCUGUACACAGGAACCCUGGUUUUCCUUGCUCAGGGUUUCAGGCUGCAGGGACGUGGUGUGACUGGGAAGGAAACGCUCUGCCCUCUGCUGCUGGCGGAGCUGGCUGGCCAGAGAGUGCUCAGGCUGAAAUGGGGCCUGCAGCUUCAAGAUGAGCAGAUAGGUGAUGUGAGCAUCUAAUGGGGGUCUCUUCAGAUGACUGUGAAGUUACAGUUGCCAGAGGAAGACCUGAAGCAGGGUAUUUACAGUCCCUCUCUUCAUUGUUACCUGCCUGAGCCUCCUAGGGCAGCAGCACCGUGUGUACAGGAGCAGUACAAAGGCAGACGCCGGGCAGGCUGAACACAUCGCAGCAUGGUGGCGAUUCCUAAAUGGUAUCUGAAGAACUGGAACAUCCUUCCCUGCCCGGGGAUUAGAAAGGAGCGAGGCGAGAAGAGAGUCCAUCACCGCUGUUUACAGGAGGUUUUUUCUUUAUGUCAUAUUUUAAAUUUAUCAAAUAUUUAGCUUAGGCAAAUGUAGUUGAAUCAUAAUAGACUUCUCAAACUUGUAGGGAAAAAAGGUUGGUUAUUGACUCUCUCCUGUAUAAAUAACUGCUACAAGAAGUAAGAAAACAUAUAUCCUGCCCUGCUCUUCUCUUGCAUCCUCUUCACUCAGCAUAAAAGACAUUUUAACAGAAUGGAUUGGAGGAAGCUUGUGUUGGGAGAGCACAAUGAAGCUGUAGUCGAAAUCUGGUCCUCUCAGUGGAGCUGCAUCAGCACCCUAAUGCGCUCGGACACUGCCGCGGCUGGGUGCCCGCUGCUGACUUUGGGAACGCGCUCUCCAUCUUUGUAGUGCGGCUGAAAUCACUUUUCAGAGCUUCAUUUCUCUGCCCUUGAUUCCUCAUAAACUUUGUCCCUGAUUAUGUGAAGAAUGUAACAGAUGAUGCAAGUCAAUUUGUUCGUGUCCGCGGUAUCAGGCAUUCGUUGGUUGAUUGUGCUCACGGCACGAUUAUGCUCCGUAUUUAUAAAAGAAUGACAGCGUAAUUAGUCAGUCUCAGGAGAUUAAACAUACGUUUUUGUUGGCUAAA
This is a long non-coding RNA of Anas platyrhynchos (mallard), 1152 nucleotides long. RefSeq lists it as uncharacterized. NCBI's taxonomy places the organism in Eukaryota, Metazoa, Chordata, Aves, Anseriformes, Anatidae. The record is from RefSeq and is a predicted model, not a curated record.